CCGUUGCCAAUGGAGGAUGCUGCAAGAGUCCGCUGUUCUUAAACGGCGUUGCUCUAGUAACAGGCCCAAACCGUCCCGGAAAGCGAAUCGAUGUUGGUGGUAGUGUCAGGGAUCCCCAGGGACGAGGCCUCCAGAAAGAGGUGCUUUCUGCCAUCCGGGGAAUGAACUGGGCACCUCGUCCUGCGUCAGGAUCCGUGACGGCCGCCAUAGCAGUGCCUCCCCGUCCUCCGACUCCAGGUCCAGGCGUUGACCAAUUAUCCUCGGGGCUAUGAGGUUACAGUGGCUGAGGGCGGUGUUGGCAGGACCAGCAAGAAGAUCUUCAGCCCAGCGGGUCCAGCCUGUUGCACCAUUUAGUGGCGUCGUUACUGAUCAUUGAUUCAGCUCCAUCCACGAAACCUCCCAGACUCAGACCCGGGGGGAGAGGUGGAGAGAACUGGACUGCGAGUUCCCUGGGGCCUCUUACUCGUGAUUCUACACGAGUUUCCACCCUCCCAGCGCCCGGUGUGCUCUCUCCGCUCAGGCACAGGACUGCUCCGUCUGCCAGUUAAACAGAUUGAAUUUUGGGCUCCAAUGCAAUGAUGAAGCGCAGAAGAAAGUAAUUUGGCCUUUUAUACCUGUCCUAUCUCUUUGAAGUUAGUCCCACGUCUCUGUCCUAUCCUCAAAAUCUUGUGAAUAUUUAUCAGCUCCUUUAUUUUAAUCUACCUUUACAUCGUUCUCCACUUUAAAGCUUUGCAUGCCAAAUCAUAAGAACGCGUUGCAUAUAAAGACUGCACCCUGAAUUGAUUUUCCAAUUCUCUGUUAAUCUCCAAAUUGACUCUGGCAGUGGGGAAGUUGAUUCAGGUGAUGGAUGAAGUUGCUCCACAUGUGUUUACAUCAGUGAAUAAGAGAUCAGACAUUUAACUGACUCCACUCUCCUGCCUUGUCACUGGAUUCUAUCCUCCGGAUGUCAAAGUUGUCUUCUGAGAAAUGGUGAGCUGAUGAUGACUGGCAUUCUGGUCAACCACAAUGGCACAAACCAACUCAGGAAGUGGCCUGGCUUCGAGCUGCAGGACCGAGCCACCUAUUCUUGUCAGUAUGAACACAGCAGCAAAGGAACUGAGACCAGGCACUUGGUUGCCCUGAAGAAAACGGUGGUGGACGGCCUUCUUGAUUGGCAUAGGUAGACCCACAAUAUCUUUAGAGAGGGAGUUCCAGAAUUUUGACCCAACAACAUUGGAGGAAUGGUGACAUAUUGCCAAGUCUGGAGCAACCGACUUAGAGAAAAGCUUGCAAGUGGUGGUGUUCCCAUGUAUCUGCUGACAUUUUCCUUCUAGAUGGAAAUGGUCAUGCAUUUAGAAGAUGCUUUUGAAGGAACCUUGUGGAUUUCUGCAACACACCCUGCAAAUGAUGCACAGUGUUGGAGUUGCACUCAUCCAGACAUACUUCUGACUUGUACCUUGUAGAUGGUGGACAGGAUUUGGGAGUCAGCAGAUGGGGAUUUCCAACUCCAGAAGAAACAAAUCUCAGUUUAAUUGUUGGAAUUGUUGCUGCUGCCAUUGCUCUGAUUGCUGUCAUCAUUGGUGUCAUUGAUUGGAAGAAGAGAGAGAGUCCGACGUGGUUGGCUCUGGAGAAGACUUUUCUUCGAGGAAUUUAUUGAAGAGGAAUCGUUUUUAUUCAGUUAAUCAGCUAAGCGGUUGAUUUUAUUUAAGUUUUGUAUGUUUGAUGUAUACAAUUUUAGUAUUUUCCAUUUUACAUUAUUUUCUGUAGGUAAUGAAAGAUGGUUUAUUAUAUAUAUAAGGUGUUAUUGAAACGUCCUUUUUUUAGGCUUAAUGUUAUUAAGAUCAUAUAUGCGGUAUAGAGUGAGAUAGCUUGUAGAAGAUAGCUUGGAAAAGUUAUGACCCAGCAAGAUUGAUCGGAUAGAUGGGUGACUGUUAGGAUAGGUAAGAAUAUCUCCAAUGGCUAUUCCUCUACCAAAUAGAUAUUCAGCUUUUGGAACUGUUGAAGGGCAUAGUCUCUCUGGGGAAAAUGGAAGGGCUAGUCACUUUUUGGACACUUGGAAUGAUUCUUACGUUAGGCAGCAUUUGAGAAGACUUAGUAGAAUGAUUGUUAUAGGGGCCUCUCCUGUCAAAGGCUUAGACAGGAGAUUCUGUGGCAGUGAGUGUAAAUUUAGGAUGGUUUGUUAAUUGCCUGGUGCUAGGAUUAAGGACGUCUCUAAACGUUUCAAGCAUAUUGUUAAAGGUGAGAUUGAGAAGCCAGAAAUUAUUGUACACGUUGGUAGGAGUGACAUUUUUAGGGAAAAGAUCAAAGCAGUACAAAGUGAAUUUAACAGGUUAGGCAAAAGAUUUUAAAAAAAAAAACCUUAAAAGUAGUAAUUUCUGGUUUACUCCCAAUGCCAAACGAGGUAGGGAGAAAAAGUUUAGAGGAGACAAAUCAAUGGCGAAGAGCUUGUGUAUUGUUCAGGGAUUCAGGUUUUUGGACAAUUGGAAUGUCUUUUGCGUUAGAAAAGACAUGUUCCAAAAGAAUGGGUCUAAGUUAAACUGGAAAGGGACCAAUAUCUUAGCAAGGAGAUUAGCUCAUUCCAUUAAGGGAGACUUUAUACUGACAGAGAGGGGGAGUGGGGGAAUUCUAAGUAACAGUGUAAACAGAAGGAUUGAUGAGGAAGGUUCUGAAUGUGAGGCGAGCACAUCAAUUACAAAAGAAAGACGAGAGAGUCAGAGUAUGUAGUAAUUCUGAAGAACUAAAUUGCAUUUUUUUUCAAUGCAAGGAGCCUUGCAGGCAAAGCUGAUGAACUCGGGGCAUGUUUAAGAACAUGGGAUUGGGACACCAUAGCUAUUAUAGAAACUUGGCUGCGAGAUGGACAAAACUGGCAAUUCCAUGUUCUGGGUUUUAGGUGCUAAAGGAACAAUAGAAAAGGAGGCAAGAAGUGUGUGUGUGGGGUUGUGUUUUUCAUUAAGUAAUACAUUAUUGCUUUAACUAGGGAAGAUAUUUCUGAAAAAUUGUCCACUGAAAAUAAGAAAGGAAAGAUCACUUUGAUGGGAUUGUACUGUAGGCGCUCCAAUAGUAAGAGAGAAAUUGAGAAGCAAAUAUGUAUGGAGAUCUCAGAUAUAUAUAAGUAUAAUAAGGUUGUAAUAAUGACGGAUUUUAAUUUUCCAAAUAUUGACUGGGAUUGCCAUAGUGUUGAAGGUUUGGAUCAUGACAAGUUUGUCAAAUGUGUUCAAAAAAAGUUUUCUUUGUCAAUAUGUGGAUGCUCUUACAAGAGAAGGAGCAAAACUAGAGCUUCUUUUGGGCAAUAAGGCAGGGAAAGUGACUAAAGUAAAUGUGGUGGAACACUUUGGGUCUAGUGAUCAUAAUUCUAUUAGUUUCAAAAUGGUUAUGGAAAAGGAUAAGCCUUCCAUAAAAGUUAGAGUUUUUAAUUGGAGUAAGGCAAAUAUCAGUGGUAUGAGACAAAAGUUGAUUGGAGUAGACUGUUCGCAGGCAAAAGGAAGUUUGACAAGUGGGAGACGUUCAAGAGUGUGAUGACAAGAGUUCCUGUUGAGUGCAAGGUAAGGCUGGUAAGAUUAAGGAACAAUGGAUGAAUAAGAAUAUUGAGGUUCUAGUCAAGAAUAAAAGAGAAUCUUAUUUCUGAUAUAGACUACUUGAUUCAAUUGAAUCUCUUAAUCAAUAUAGUGUAUGGGCAUUGUUAAGAGACAAAUCAGGAAGACAAAGAGGGGCUAUGAGAUAACAUUGCCAGAUGAGGUUAAGGAUUAAUCUACAGAGAUUCUACAAAUACUUUAAGAACAAGAGGGUAACCAGAGAGAGGGCAGGGCCUCUUAAAGAUCAAAGACGUCAUCUUUGUGUUGAACCCCUGGAGAUGGGAGAGAUAUUAAAUGUAUAUUUUGUGCCAGCUUUUACUGUGGAGAAAGAAAUGGCACCUAGAGAAUGCGGAGAAAGAAAUGGUACCUAGAGAAUGCAGAGAAAUAAACAUUGACGUUUUCCACAACCUUCAUGAAAAAAGAGGAAUUUUGGGAGCUCAUAGAGAAUAUAAGGGUAGAUAAAUCUCUGGGCCCUGAAUGUGUGGGAAGUAAGGGAGGAAAUUACUAGACCCUUUGCAAAAAUAUUUGCAUCAUCUGUAACUACAGGUGAAGUGCCUGAUGACUAGAGGGUGAUUCAUGUUGUACCUUUGUUUAAGAAAAGUUAAAUGGAGAAACUGGGGAACUAUAGACCUGUGAGUCUGACUUAAGUUGUGGGUAAAUUGUUGAAGGUGAAUAUAAAAGAUAGGAUUUAUGGACAUUUAGAGAGGCAAAAAUUGAUUGGGGUAGUCAGCGUGGUUUUUUUUUUGUGAGGAAAAUCGUGUCUCUCAAACUUGAUUGAAUUUUUUGAGGAAGUUACCAAAAAGGUUGAUGAUGGCAGAGCAAUAGACAAGGUUCUGCGUGGUAGGCUAAUUAGUAAAGUUAGGAUUCAGGGUGAGCUUGUCAAUUGGAUAUGUAAUUGGCCUAACGGCAGGAGUGAGAGUAAUGGUGGAGGGUUGCUUUUCGGACUGGAGGCCUGUGACCAACAGUAUUCCACUGGGAUUGGUUCUGGAUCCUCUUUUGUCAUUUUAUAUAAAUGAUUUGGAUGAGAAUAUAGGAAGGUAUGGUUAGUAAGUUUGCAGAUGACACCAAAAUUAGUAGCACAGUUGACAGUGAAGAACGUUAUCUAAGAUUACAAAGGGAUCUUGAUUAAAUGGGCUCAAAAAUGGAGGAAUGAGUUCAAUCUGAAUGAAUAUGAGGUGUUGAAUUUUGGUGUAACAAACAAGGGCAGGACUUAUAUAAUUAAUGGUAGGGCCUUGGAUAGUGUUUUAGAACAGAGGGAUCUAGGGGUGCAGGUACAUAAUUUUUUCUUCAAAGUUUGCAUCAAAUAUACACACAGGGUGUUUAAAAAGGCUUUUGGCAUGCUUGCUUUCAUUGCUCAGUCCUUUGAGUAUAAAAGUUGGGACGUUAUGUUGAGGUUAUACAGGAAAUUGGUGAGGCCUUUUCUGGAAUACUGUGUCCCGUUCUGAUUGCCCAGUUAUAGGAAGAAUAUUAUCAAACUGUACAUGGUUCAGAAGAGACUUACCAGGAUGUUGCCUGGCAUGGAAGGCUCGAGUUAUAAAGAUAGGCUGGAACUUUUUUCACUGGAGUGUAGGAGGUUGAAAGGCAACCUGAUAGAAGUUUAUAAAAUAAUGAGGGCUAUAGAUAGAGUUGAUGGUAGUUGUCUUUAGAUGGGGAAUUUCAAAACUAGGGGACACACUUAAGGUGAGAGGAAAGAGAUUUUAAAAAAAAAAACAAGGCAAUUUUUUACACAAAAGAUGGUUUGUGUGUGGAAUGAACUUUCUUAAGUAAGUGGUGAAUGCAAGUAUAAUUACAACAUUUAAAAGGCAUUUGGAUAGAUACAUGAGUGGGAAAGCUUUGGAGGGGUAUGGGUCAGGAGCAGGCAGGUGGGACUAGUUUAGUUUGCGAUUAUGUUCAGCAUGGACUGGUUGGACUGAAGAGUCUGUUUCCAUGCUGUAUGACUCUGACUUUAAGAAAUAACAAUACCAAUCCAGACCAUGUCGCUUGGUGCUUCUGUCACAGCAAGAUGAGUGAAGUAUUUGAAGACAUUUUUCAGCAUCAGCAGAAGAGCCUAAUGCACGUUGCAAAUCCCAGUGACUAAACUCUGUAAUUCUGGAAAGUGGUUGCUGCUUAAGCCUGCAUUGCCACUCCAAUUGGACAAUUCACCAUGCAAAAAUCUCCUAAAGGCUGUGCUGGAGAAACAGGAGAAAAGGUUCACUUUAAAUGAUGAAGGACAUGCAACCAAAAUAAUGACUCUCCUGUAAACUACAGCUCAGUUGGCCUUAACGCUAACUGUAUCAGGUCCAGAUGCUAGGAUGCUCAGCAUGGGGACCAAAAAGCUGUCCUACUGCCAAUGCCCCCACAUAACAGCAAUCCCUCUUCCCACCUUAUGUAUCAAGUUGUAUCAAUAUGUGUAAAAUCAGAUAUGAUCUUUAUAGGAUAUAUCUAUCAUUAAUAUUGUGAUGCAUCUAUAAAAUGGAUUGUGCAUGUAUCAGUGUUCUAUGUAUCUCUUUGUUGCUUAUCAACAUAAAGUGUGCUUGUGUGUCUGUGUUGUAUAUAAAAUGUCAUUGAGAAAUAAAUAGGAAAAGCAUUUUUCUUCCUGAAUGAUGUCAGAUUUAGACAGGUGAACAACAAAUAGAAACCCAUUUAAAGAGAUAUUUAUCAAGCUAAGUCAUAAGGUGAAUGUACAAGCAUCAGAAAAAUAAUUAAACUAGAAAAAAAUUUAAAGAAUUGCCUGAAUUUUAUUGAUGCAUUAAUUCAAUUGCCCCUGGUGGCUUGAUGGCUGGGAUUUGGUGCUUUCACCUCCAUGUCCCACAUUUGAUUCCUGGUCAGGGAAUGCUAUUUUACUAUAAAGGUUUACCUUGACCUAUUAACUGCUUCUAAUAAUGAAGGUUCGGUGUCGCCAUCACAAUUGAUAGAUAUGAUUUGUUGCACACCGAGGAAAAUAUUUCUAAAAUGACCAUGGACCUAUCGCAAGGCAGGUGAAGUUCGUAUCUAACUGUUACACCAUGAAAACUUGGACCCGUCUGACUUCGUGUCAGACAAGAAGAAGCUGAAGAACAGUUGCUCAUCUGAACAAAUAUUUCACCGUUCAGACCAUACAAGUCACAAAACAAUAUCCAUUGGCAGUCACUCAACUACUGAAGGAACUUGCAAAUGCUGGUUCCUGGAUCUUUGGAAUCAGGCCAUUCUCCCUCAGAUGAAAUUGGUUGUAAAUACUGACUUAGGAGAAACACCAUUUCAGUUCCAUGAAUGUGGUGAGUUUUCUUUGGGCCAUGAAUUUCCACUUGUCACUGACACAAAUGCUCAAAAUGUGACAUUCAUGGACAAAUUCGACACCUUUCUCCUGUGAUAAGUUAGUGAUACACAGGCACAGACACUACUGGAAAGGGUUACUCGGAGAUUCUGAUUUUGCAUUUUUCAAUUAGGGUAAUUACAAGAAGGGUAAGUUAAUUAUUAAAUGAGGGUGAAAUAUAACUUGUAUGGCUCAGCAUCAGGAUUGUUAACUUUCUCAAACAUCACUCACAUUAGCAACAGAAAUAACCCAUAGGAGAUUGGAGGUUUCAAACAUACAUUGAGCCAAUUUCCAGUUCCAAUUAAUUACUUUGGAGCCAAUAUCUCAAUAGGUUUAAUGACCCUUUUGGUGAUGUUUGUGUGUUUUUUAUUAAAUUUUACUCAACUGAUAUUUACAAAAUGCCUGCUUUGUACCUUUCAGAAUAGCUGCAGACCUGGGAAAGUUUGUGGUUCUUUUUCUUCCAGUCAAAGUGCACAACACAAAACUGUGCAUUAAUAAACUUAAACAGGGAAAACUGGGAGUGAUUUCACCACAAGAUAGUAUGCACUGUUACUACUGACCAUCAGUGUUGGAGAGAAUGAUUGCUUGUGGAUGUGGUGCCAAUCAAUUGAACAACUUUGUCAUGGAUGGUUUCUGGCUUCAGUGUUGUUGGAAAUGCACUAAUCCAAGCAAUGGGAGUAUUUCAUACACUCCUGAAUUGUGACUUGUAGAUGGUGGACAAGGUUUGGUGAAUCAGCAGGAACAAUUUAAGCAAUGGGAAACCUGUGGGAACAUGCUAUCAUAUGAACAACAGCAAGAUGAUUUAAAAGCAAUGUAUUUCUGGGCACUAGACUUCACGGCAAGACAGAUUGGCAUUGGAGUCGUGCAGAGCAGAUUUUCCACAGAGAAACCUAACAUAAAGAAAUUAAGAGACAACAAGGUGUAGAGCUGGAUGAACACAGCAGGCCAGGCAGCAACAGAGGAGCAUCCUACAUUUCUGAAGAAGGGCCCAGACCCAAAACGUCAGCUUUCCUGCUCCUCCAAUGCUACCUGGCCUGCUGCGUUCAUCCAGCUCUACACCUUGUUAUCUCAGAUUCUCCAGUGUCGGCAAUUCCUACUUUCUCUCAUAAAGAAAUUAACUUAUGAAGAAUAUUGCACACCCUCUGGCUAUCAUCUCUGGAACUAAAAGGCUAAGAAUUGAUUUGAUGGACUUAUGAACAAUAUGUGAAACUAAUGGAGAGAAACAACUUUUAUUGCUUAAACCGUAGAAGACGGACGCCAAGGUAGACCUUGUUGAAGUAGUAAUAGCUGUACAUUCCUCUUGGAAAAACCUCAAAAGUUUGGAACACUAAAGCAGUGGUGAAGCAACAUGAGAUCUUGCUUUGCAGCCCAGCGUGUAAGACUGCAGAAAUAAAUAAUUAGGGGAGAAUGGAAGAAUGAGGUAAGAUUUAAUCGCCCAAGACCUGUUUCCUACAUCAAUUAUACUCAAAGAUGUUCCCCUCUGCCCUUGUCAGGCAAAUAGUGGGCCAAACUAUCAUUAUCAAUCAUGUGUGAGAGUGUAUGCAUGCCAGUGAAGAAAAGUUGUUUCUUAAUAUGAGCUCAGUUUGUUCUAUUUUUGUGUGAAGACCAUCCUCCUUGAAACCCUUUGUAUCCUUUGCUAUGUGAAAUUCUUGCAGAUAUUUGUCCUUAAACAUAUUGCAGCAGCAGCCAGCAUAUAGAUAACAACAAACUUACUUGAUAUCUUAGUUGCAUAUG
Molecule: long non-coding RNA, 8556 nt
Organism: Rhincodon typus (whale shark)
Lineage: Eukaryota; Metazoa; Chordata; Chondrichthyes; Orectolobiformes; Rhincodontidae
Exons: 7
Source: RefSeq, a predicted model, not a curated record